UUCUCCAAGCCCACGAAACAUUACUUGGGCUUCAAGUUUUAUUCGGACAAACUUGACCCACUCCUUGUAAUAGUCCCAUUUAGAAAAAUAGUCAGGGAUGGAAUUACUUUCCUUUUCAGGAUGUCUCAAUUUAGGAAACUAGACAUUACUUUCUUGUUUAGGAAAUAAAGGAACUCUGGACUUGCUUGCUUGUUUGGGAUGGGACUUGCGCUGCUUGCGUGUUCACAUAUAUUGUGUUGCAUGAGUAUGAUCUUGUGUUGCAGCAGACUUGCAGGUAAUUAUUCUAUAGGAGUCUAAAUUUCCAUGGGUUUCCUCCUUAAUGCAGGAUUUCUUCUUUGGAACUAAAUUAGGGCCAUC
This 357-nucleotide long non-coding RNA is filed under the name Carica papaya (papaya). Its description in RNAcentral is "long non-coding RNA (CPAP_LNC007936)". Lineage: Eukaryota; Viridiplantae; Streptophyta; Magnoliopsida; Brassicales; Caricaceae. The record is from RNAcentral.